AGAUGGCAGAAUACUACGAUGGAGCCUGAAGUCUCUUGGGCCCAUAAAUAGAUCUCUCAAGGGACUGAGUGAACACACUGUUGUGCUGGAAGUGCACUGAGUCGAGACCAGAGAGAAAAGGAGAGAAGGAGGAGGAGAAGGAGAGAACGAACAACUGGAGAGGAGCAGCACAUCGGACACCACCUAUUUAUCACCCCGACUCCCCCCGUCCACCACCGAAGGGAGAAAGAUGGAGCCGAUGAAGACAGCAAAGUGUGAGCAAAAGAAUCCGAAGUGAAAGGAUGCUCUUCCUUGAUGCAACCUGGRCUCAAACCUGCAACCUUGGGAUAACAUGUCUGCAGCACUGAUCACCAAGCCCAGCUGA
Long non-coding RNA from Austrofundulus limnaeus, 364 nucleotides. RefSeq lists it as uncharacterized. The record is from RefSeq and is a predicted model, not a curated record. NCBI's taxonomy places the organism in Eukaryota, Metazoa, Chordata, Actinopteri, Cyprinodontiformes, Rivulidae. The transcript is spliced from 3 exons.